This 506-nucleotide ribosomal RNA is filed under the name uncultured bacterium. RNAcentral's name for it is "partial 16S ribosomal RNA". It matches the Rfam family "Bacterial small subunit ribosomal RNA", at positions 30 to 543 of the family's 1533-position model. The record is from RNAcentral.
GACGAACGCUGGCGGCGUGCUUAACACAUGCAAGUCGAACGGAAAGGCCCUGCUUUUGUGGGGUGCUCGAGUGGCGAACGGGUGAGUAACACGUGAGUAACCUGCCCUUGACUUUGGGAUAACUUCAGGAAACUGGGGCUAAUACCGGAUAGGAGCUCCUGCUGCAUGGUGGGGGUUGGAAAGUUUCGGCGGUUGGGGAUGGACUCGCGGCUUAUCAGCUUGUUGGUGGGGUAGUGGCUUACCAAGGCUUUGACGGGUAGCCGGCCUGAGAGGGUGACCGGGCGCCGUGUGCGCGAACACCGCCCCGUCGGCCUAGGGGGGGCGCAAGGGGGGCGGGUCGCACGAGGGGCGGAGGCCGUGUGAAGCGCCGCGGCGGGGGGGACGCGGGCCGUCGGGUUUAAACGCGCUUGCGGCUGUGAAGAGGCGGGAGUGACGGGAAGGGGAAAGGAAGCACAGGCUAACUGCCUGCCAGGGUCCGCUGUAAAGUGGGGAGCACCCGUUGGAUC